RNAcentral lists this ribosomal RNA (466 nucleotides) under uncultured bacterium. RNAcentral's name for it is "bacterial SSU rRNA". It matches the Rfam family "Bacterial small subunit ribosomal RNA", at positions 355 to 825 of the family's 1533-position model. The record is from RNAcentral.
UAGGGAAUAUUGGACAAUGGGUGAGAGCCUGAUCCAGCCAUGCCGCGUGCAGGAAGAAGGCGUUAUGCGUUGUAAACUGCUUUUUGCCAGGGGAUAAAAAGACCGUGCGCGGUUAAUUGAAGGUACCUGGUGAAUAAGCCACGGCUAACUACGUGCCAGCAGCCGCGGUAAUACGUAGGUGGCAAGCGUUGUCCGGAUUUAUUGGGUUUAAAGGUGCGUAGGUGGCCCUGUAAGUCAGUGGUGAAAUAUCUCAGCUUAACUGAGAGGGUGCCAUUGAUACUGCAGGGCUUGAGUACAGAUGAGGUAGGCGGAAUUGACGGUGUAGCGGUGAAAUGCAUAGAUAUCGUCAAGAACACCGAUAGCGAAGGCAGCUUACCAAGCUGUAACUGACACUGAGGCACGAAAGUGUGGGGAUCAAACAGGAUUAGAUACCCAUGUAGUCCCUGAGCGGGCUGGCAAGGCGCAU